Molecule: RNA transcript, 13468 nt
Organism: Balaenoptera acutorostrata (minke whale)
Lineage: Eukaryota; Metazoa; Chordata; Mammalia; Artiodactyla; Balaenopteridae
Gene: MORN1
Gene name: MORN repeat containing 1
Exons: 3
Source: RefSeq, a predicted model, not a curated record
GGUCACUCCCAGCCACUGCCUGACAGCACGAUGUCUUUCACCAGGUCAGGGCAAACUUCUGUUUAAAGACGGGAGUUACUACGAAGGCGAGUUUGUGGACGGAGAGAUCACGGGAGAGGGCUGCCGGCACUGGGCCCUGACAGGUUAGCGGCCCGACGCUUUCCUCCUAAACCAACCCUGGUGUGAGCUGGCCCCUCCCUUCCGGGUGCAAAAGGCACUUCCAUCUGUAACCUGGGGACCCCUGGUUUCCCUGAGGUGUCUCGUAACAGCCUCGUGCCAGCCUGGGGCAGAGCGGCCACACUGCUGCCCGCAGAACCUCAGACCCCCACCGGCAAGCGGGUGUUGGGUUCUCAGCGGAGAGAAGCCUCACCCCAUGGACUGUGGCCUGGCGGGGCCUUUGCCCCCAGCACACAGAUGCCCCAGAGAGGGUCCCCUUGCGGUGGAGUCUGCACGCACACUGCUGGGAGGGAGGGAGUCCCAUUUCCCUCGUUCAGGGUGAGCAGUGAGAUAAAGGGACACCGUGUUCUGCUACCACUGCCCGGGGGUCGGGCAAGAACUACUGGUUAUCCUGCGGGACUCAGGAAACGAGUCUAACCCUGGACACCGCCUCCCGCCUCCCGUCCACACCAGGGAACACCUACACCGGACAGUUUGUUUUGGGAGAACCCCAAGGACACGGCGUCAUGAAGUACAAAGCCGGCGGACGUUACGAAGGGGAGCUCUUCCGCGGCCUGAGAGAAGGUCCGGGGUCCGCGGGGUGGACACGGGGGCCCGGACCCCAGCACUCCCCGGAUUCUGACUCGGGGCCUGAACGGGCCCGGGCGCGAGUGUGCUCCCCGGUCCGGUGCGGUUCAGAGCGCAGGGCUCACAGCGAGCCCCUCAAACCUGGUGACUCAGGUCCCCGCUCUGCCUUCGCCCUCGAUCCCGCGUCAGCGGUCUGGCCUGGGCUCGGCCGGGCGGGUCUCCUGGCCUUGCUGAGGGUCGCAGUGGCGCGACCAGCGCUGUGGGUCCUCUUGACCCUCGGCUCGGUCACCUCCUCCACGUCCCGUGGGACCCAGCGAGUCAGGAGGCCACAUUCCGGGGGCAGCGAGCGGAGCAGCCCCAGCCCCCGACAGCACGCCCGGCGCGGGCGCAGCUCUGCCCCCCUCCGAGGCCCCCCGCGAGGUGUCAGGGCGCCCUCCCCUUCCCGAGCGUGCAGGCCCUGAGACUCCGCUCCUCAGGGUCACUUCCUCUGGCCUCGGGGCCUCUGAGUAGACGGUGGAGGCCCAGCACGGCUGUCGGUCCUCAGCGCGCACUCGCACCUGCGAGCUGGCCUUGACCGCGCGGCAGCGCCACCGCAGCCGGACAGCAGAGCGUUUCAGUCUCCGAUGCUGGGGGGUCCGGGCGCCCCCACCCUCCCUCGGGACCUUGAGAGCUGGACCCAGAGCCGCUCCCGCUGCGUGUGGCUGCCAGGCCGCCCCAGAUCGGAUUGCGGGGCCGAGGGACCCCCAUGGGGCCCGGCUACAGGGGGUGCCGACCCCGUCCUUCUUGUAGACACCCCCCUCCCUCAACGGAGGCACGAGGUGGCCCUCGACCCUCGCCCCCCUCCAGGACGGGGGCACCUGGCGGACGCAGAUGGACAAGCUUGCUGGGGGUCGUUUCACGACAACAAGCGGCACGGCCAAGGGCGGAUGGUCUUCCGGAACGGAGAUGAGUACGAGGGCGACUGGGUCCGGGACCAGCGCCAGGGCCACGGGAUGCUGCGCCGUGCGGACGGCUCCAUCUGUGAGGUACUGGACCCACCGGCCGGGCGUCCUCUGCUCCCGGUGCCGCCCGGGGCGCAGCCCAGGUUGCUGCCCGUCUGACCCUGCGAGGUAGGGUUGGCCGCCGUUCCCGUUUUGCUGACGAAAAGAUGCGGUUCAGAGAGCUUAAGGGCCGCCCGCCAACACCUUUCCGUCCCGUCGGGUUCCUGAGACACGCCAUGACCCAGCGCUCUCCUGUGGGAAUGGCCUGGUGAAGCCUUUUUGAGAGGAGAUACCCGUGGGGUCCCAGUGCCCUCGACAACCUGGGGAAGCAGGCGAGGGCCCCUCCCCGCUCCUCGUGAGCAGGGCUCUGCGCCCCGCCCCCCAUCAUCGUGGCAGCUGCUACUCUCAGGUUGAUGGGGGGUUUUAGGUGCCACGAGGCCAAGAGAUGCAGGCACGUGGGAAGACCUUCUCGGGCUCCCAGAAUCCAUCAUCCUUGGGCUUCCUGGACGCCGGCCUGUGGGCCCAGCCGGCCCUGCAGAGAUGCAGCCAGGGGCCAGAGAAUGCCGCGUGAGCCAGGUCUGAAGGAUGGGAAAGGGCCGCCGCGUGGAGACCGCAUGGAAGGGCGUUGCAGGUAGCGGAAGGGCGAGGCUGGGCUCCGAGGCAGAAAGAAGCCUGCGUGGCCAGAGCAGGGGGCAGGGGAGGCAAGGCAGGAGGUCCGGGCAGUCCCACGCAUAGGCCCCGGAGCCACGAGCGGUUGGAGUUUUAUCCUACACAUCACAGAAAGUGCUGGAAGGAGCUGGUGACCUGAUCCCUGUGUUUGGAAGGUUUCUCUUGUUCUCACUCAUGGAAAGAGGUGAUGGCGGCCUGCAUGGGGUGUAGAACCAAAUUUGGGGUGGUUUGGAGUUACAGAUACUGGACUGGUUGACAAGAGCAGAAGCGAAGAUGUCCCUGCAUUUUUGGCCCAAGCGUCGGAUGGAUGGUGGUGAUGCCUGAACCAGAAUCCGCCGGAAGACAGAAGUCACACCAGUAAUUGAACGUGAAAGUAUCAACUAGUGAAAGACAGCAAAAUACUCAAAGGGGUAAAAGCAGGAAUAUGGCAAAAGCAAACGUGAAAGUGGCCCCAGGAGGCGCCCUCGAAGAUGGGGUGUGGGUACCGGCUGGUUGCAUCCUCGGGCCUGACCGCAUGGGCCUGAGGCCGUGGGAGAUGUGACUCUGGCCCGUGGUGGCUUUGGGAGUGACUGAGCUGCCACCGAGCUCGGCUGUGACACGCCAGCUGAACCUGGGCCUCGGGAGCCGCGGGUUGCACGUGGCUGUGGAUGUAGUGACGGCGGCCACGAGGCCCCUGGUGUCCUGGACGGGAGCUCAGGUCCGCACUCAGCUCCAGCCACGGCCCUGAGAGUCCCUCACUUCUCACAGCCUCAGGGCUGAAACAAAAUUUGAUCGUGUGGGUUGCAGAAUUAGGUUGUCAGCUGAAUUCAUAUCUCUGCGAAGUCUCUCAUGUGAAAGUCAGAGUGGAGAUUGGGAAGGAAGUCCCGGGAGACGAGGGAAAGCCCAGCCCCUCUGGAGACUCAGACCCUGCAGACAGAGGGUGUGGCCGCGGCCCGCUGGGUUGGAGGAGCUUCCCUGGGCGUCGGCUACCAGCCGGGCCGUGUGUGCAGGAAACCCUGGGACACAGAGGAACUCGCCCAGGACAAACCCCUGUGCCUGAGGGGUUAGGAGUGGGCACCCUGGAGCCCGAGGGAAGCCUGUUCCCUGCAGGGUCCCUGCAGCACUCAGCACGGCAGCAGCUGGCAAAGCGACACGUUUCAGGGUCCAGUUCCCAGAGCCCAGAGUCGGCAGGAAGGGUCGUUUUGGGGCCGAGAGGCAGUAAGCUGGUAACUGGCCGGGGCCCUGCCUGAGAUGGAAUGGCCUGCUGGGGAGCGUGGAGUCUUGCCCUGGCUGCGAGCUCCCCCAGGCAUGCUCACCUUGCCUGCUUGUAAAACGCGGAGCUCUGCUUAGGUAACACCCCCUCCCGGGCCCCCUCCUGGGACCGCAAGUCCUGGUCUGGGGAGCCAGCCACUCCCGGGGUGCCGCCUGGGCCGCUGCGGUUGGCAGUUUGCGCCAGAGCCCAUUUGCAGAUGCCACUGUGCCCCGGCCAGAGCCCUGCUGCUUCUCCCCAAGGGGGAUGUCUGUCCAUCGUCAUGGGGCCAGGCUUUGGGGCUCACCCUGGGCAGCCACGGUCCCUGGGCUGAAUUCUCCAGAGCUGCCACGGAGGAGAGGAACGCGGGGGGGCCUGGGAGGAUCCUCCUCGCUCGGCACCCCCAACAGUGUCCACGCCUUGUAGGCUGGGGGCGCGGGGGCGCGGUUCUAGUGCCCGGCACUGCCCUCAGCUGCCCUCUGGCUCCCCGACUCUCUCGACCACCGUUCCAAAGACGAGGAGGCCUCCCAAACCAGGGGGUGGCCGAGCCCUCGCCUUCUUCCAGAGAAUCCCGCAGGCCUCCGCCCCCGCCCUCCACCCCGCGUGCCCUUCCCCCAGAGGCAGUUUGGGCGCCUCCAGGGCCUCCCCAUCAGCGGCCUGGGCACUGGGGGCCCUGCUCGGGCCUCCCCGGCAAGUCGCUGCUCAGCCGGGGGGCUGGGGGUUCCCCGCCGCCAUCCACCAGGGGGCAGCCCGGCCCUGCCGACCGCCUGGCCCUGCAGGGGCCUCCUCCACUGGCUGCGGAGCUAGAGCCGCUUCCCUCCAAGCGGAUGCCCAGUGGACGCCGGCUUGGAUGUCAGGCGAGGGGCCGGCGGCUUCGUCCCCCGGGCGCUUUGCAGGUGAACGAAGGUCCUUCCCCAGGGUUCAGACCGUCCGCCUGCGUUCCCGCUGUUCAGCGAUGCCCCAGCCUCCCAGGGCCGCGCACUCAGACGACCUGCCCGCGCGACCCAGACCCUGAGCCCCGGGACACGCAGCCCCGCGGUCGGGAAGCGCUGCCCGCACCCACAGUCGCAGCCAUGACCAUGUCCUGAGGGCCCCGGGAGGACACCCAGGCCCUGAGUCCCUGCGUCCCAAACAGCUUCCCGACGGUGUGGACACAGGAGCUCCCAGCUCUCAGCGCCCGCCUCUCCGUGCAGUGGGGAUGCCUCCUGCGCCUGACCUCUAACCUGCGACCUCUGGGCAUGAAGGGUCACCUGGGAGAGGUGGAGCCGCCAGAGGGAGUUGGCAUGUCUCCCAUGAGGGUACAGCUGUCCCCAAGCUUUCACUAGGCAAAUAGCUUUCUCUGUUUUUUAACUUUAUUGCAAAAUACACGUAACGUAAAAUUUAUCACCUCAUCCAUUUAUAAGUGCCCAGCUCGGUGGCAUUAAGCACAUUCACAUUGUUGUGCAGCCAUCACCACCGUCAUUUCCAGAACUUUCUCCUUUUCCCACACUGAAGCUCUGCCCCCGUGAGACACUCCCUCCCCACCCCUCCCCAGUCCCCGGCCCCCACCCUCCUACUUUCUGUCCCUAUGGAUCUCCUCCAGGGACCUCGCAGAAGUGGGAUCACGUAGGAUGUGUCCUUUCGUGUCUAGUUCAUUUGACUCGGCGUCGUGUCCUCUAGGUGCAUCCACGGUGGCGCAGGGGUCAGGACCUCCUUCCUUUUCCGGGCUGGCUCCUGCUCCGCCGUGUGGGUGGUCCUUCCACGCUGCGCCCAGCUGCUCAUCCAUCAAUGGGCACUCGGUCUGUGUCCACCUCUCGGCGCCUGUGAGUGACGCCACCGUGAGCACAUCCUGCUCCCAGUUUUGGGAGCAGCGCAACUGCUGGGUCACGUGGUGAUUCUAUUUUUAACGUUUUGAGGAACCUCCACACCGUUUUGCAUUUUCCAUUCCCACCAGCAGCACACCAGCGUUCCAGUUUCUCCACAUCCUCUCCCAGCGCUUGUGUUUUCUGGGGUUUUUUGGUUCGUUUUUUGUUUAUUUAUUUAUUUAAUUAUUUAUUUAUUUUUGGCUGUGUUGGGUCUUCGUUGCUGCGCAUGGGCUUUCUCUAGUUGUGGCGAGCGGGGGCUACUCUUUGUUGCGGUGCGCAGGCUUCUCAUUGCAGUGGCUUCUCGUUGUGGAGCACGGGCUCUAGGCGUGCGGGCUUCAGUAGUUGUGGCGCGCGGGCUCUAGAGUGCAGGCUCAGUAGUUGUGGUGCACGGGCUUAGUUGCUCUGCGGCAUGCGGGAUCUUCAUGGACUUCCAGGGCUCGAACCCGUGUCCCCCGCGUUGGCAGGUGGAUUAACCACUGCACCGCCAGGGAAGUCCCAUGUUUUCUGCUUUUUAAAUAAGCACGGUGCUAAUGAAGUGAUGAAGAGGCAGGCAGCCCCUCAGAGAGCAGCGUCCUCCGGGGCCGCCUCCGUGGAGCCUGGGGACGGAUUGUGGGCUGUGGAGGCGAGUGCACACCUGGCGGAGGGGACAGAGGGGUGCUGUCCGGUGAGCCUCAGCCUCUGCACACGGAACGUUCCUACCUGUGCCGUGGUGCCGCCAGCAGUGCGCUUCCGCCCGCCCCAGGGCACCUCCGUGCGCAUUGGCUGCGUUUCUCGUGUUGGCGUUCCUCUGCAUUUCCCGAAGGGAGGCCUGCUGGGCGGCGCACCUGCUCACCGCACGGAGCAGGUGGUCGGCCUCGUGCGCAUCUUCACCUGCUGGUGGCUCUCCUCACCUGCGCACCUGUAGGAAUGCCAGGGGCUCCGUGUCCCCGUGCCACUGUCCUGGCCGGGAGGUCACAGUCCAGGAAUGGGGGCCUGACCGUGAGAAGCAUCUGGGCCCACUGGAGCGUCGUGGGAGGAGGGGCCUGGGCUGCCAGAGCAGAUCCAGCACUGCCCCACGUUCCCGGUGGGGUUCUACACAGACGGAUGUCAGAACCUGGCGUGUGAAGGCAGCUUGUAUUUACAUCAGCAGAACUUGUGUCACACUUUGAAAUCCGAGGAACUUAUGGCCAGGAUUGUGGAGGUCAAAGACACCUUAGGGACCCUGCUGCUAGUUGGGAAGUGAGGAGCAUUGUGUCUGCAGAGAAUGAUGGGCAGGGGCCACCAGCACUCUGGCCUGUGUGGCCACUGCUGCCCCAGCAGGCCACCCCGAAAGCUGGAGCCCCCGGCCCCCUGCGGCCACAGGCCCAGGCAGGUGACCCGGGGCCACGCCCCUCCCUGGUCUAGGAGCCGUGGCCUCAGGAAAGUCCUCACCUGCUCCAGGAAGGAGUUUGGCGACAGUGGGACGUCACCUCCUGCAGACUGGAUGCCAUCAAAGCAGAUGUUGUGGAGAGCUGGGCCCGGGCCCCUCCUGGUGUGGUCGGCCAAACCCCGGUGCCCCGGAGAGGACUGGAGGUGGGGAAGAGCUGGAUGAGCUGGGAAGGUGGGCUUCUGACCGGGGCGGAGAUUCAGAGUGUGCCUGGGAGUGCCUGAAGACGCAUCGGGGCAAGGCAGCCGCAGAAGCAAUUCCAGGAAAAGCACCGUCACUUUCCCCGGGAAAGAAAAAUAGCAUCAGUUAACUAGAAAGUGCUUCCCGAAAUGAGAAGAGUCAAGUGUGUAUUUCUCACAAUUUAUUCAAACUCGUGUGGUGGGGAAGGCACCCAAGGAGCCCCUCGUCCCACCCCCGACUCCGUGCUCUUCAAAGAAAGGACCAGGGAAGGAGUCCUGAGCACGUAGGUCCCCAUCCUGGAGCUGAGAGGCCCUGGGGUUGCCCCAGCCACCGCCGGCCACGAGGUGCGCCCCACUCACCCCGCGGGGCCUCUCCUAACGGGGACCCCGUCCCCCCCGUGCUUCGUGUGCAGUGUGGCCCGGCCGUCCUCGCAUCCUCCUGCGCUGCGUCAGCCGCACACAGGUCCUCACCUGGACGGGGAGGAGGAGGGAGAGCCGGCAGGCGCGUAAGACACAUUAACACCUGUUUGUUCGUGCUCUGGUGCACAUCAGCUGACUGAGAAAGGGCAGGAUUUUCAAAAGCAUGAUUUGUAACAUUAAUUAGAUUCUGCGCUGUUGGAUGAGUUACUCUGCUGGAGUGUAUCGUGUAUCUGUCCCGGGAAAGUUCUGUGUUGCAGCCUGAGCUAGGGGGGGGUGGGUCUCAGAUUACGGGAGCGCGAUUGAGCGGUCGGUCAACGCGUGGAUGACCGUGGAUGCCCGUCAACGUGCUCGCGUGGAUGGCAAGCACCAGACAGCGACUUGGCGGGGAGCCCGACCCUGCGCACAGCCAGCGGGGCGGGGUGGGCCGGGGCCCCGUGGUCUGAUAGGCACGUUCACUGCCCGUCUGCUCUGCACGCGGCAGCCCGUGCGCCGCAGGCCGUGCUCCAAGGCUCUGUGGGCUGGACCCGCCUGAGUCUGCCCCUGGCUCCUGGGCGACCCCGAGGCCCUGCCUGCCUUCUUCCUGAAAGCCCACGCUGCACCUUCACAGAGGGCCGAGGGGCCGGGCAGGGCGCGCGGAGACGUGGACCCCGACACGGUCGAGGGGCCCAGUGGCCAUCGUGCUGUUUGGAGAGUAGCCCGCGCUCAUUCGAGCCCUAGUUGUCCCCACGGAGCCCUGCCCUGGGAAGCUCGUGCCCCAAGCAGACAGACAGACAGACGAGACGGGACCACGGCUGAGAGGGAAGGGAGAGGCCGCUGGGAGGGGCCCACGGGGCGCCACAGAGCUCGGCCCUCUUUGGCGGGAGCGCUCGGCGUCACGUGAUGGAGCAGCUCGAAGGGAGGCCAAGGCCGUGUCGUGGGGGCAGGCAGGCGUGCACACUGAGCUCCUGCCACUUCCCCACGGCUGGAAUCCCUGUCUCCCACCUGCCCCUGGGCGUCCACUCCCGUCCACCCCGCGGAGGCGGUGACCCCAGUAGCGCUGCCCAGGACGGGGAUGAGGCCUGCGGUCGUGCGGGCAGGCAGCACACUGGCCCCGGGCACCGAGCGGGCGCAGCUCCUGCUGGGGGGGGUGAGGGGGAGGCAGCCGGGCCCCACAGGAGGGUGUUUGGAGGCGACCACCCUUCCCCGGGGCCACCGGCCCACUGCCCAGGCACCCCAGCACAGAGCCUCAGAAGAGGGCAUGAACCUCUAUGUAAAAGGGCUGCGGGUUGGGGCGAUGAGUUCAUUUGGCUCCUGAGAGGCUGCGUUCCAUUGGCCGUGAGACCUGCUUUCCGAGUUGAAACGGGUCACUUCUCAGGCCUGGGGAUGGCGUCGUGAGGGAAGCAAAGGGUUCCAGCGACUCGUUCAGCACCACUGCCCCCAGCAAACCGACUCCUGGCGGCUCAAGCUGGGAAAGCUCUGACAUCCAUUUGGUCUACACAGCUCGGGGGCGGGGGGGCAGGGGGCGGGGGGCGGCGACCCUGCCCCCCAGGGCUGUCCCCACCCGGACUGAGGGACAGUGGCCCAGCUCGGCCCAGGACCCUCCUGCUCUGCUCCCCCCCAGCCACCCCGCCCAUCGCGGUCACUGAGCACUGCUGCCCCCACCGCACAGACACAGGCACGGGGGCGCACGCCCGCGUGCACGCACACCUGCACACAGCGUCCCUUCCUGGGAGCAGACGUCUGGCCCAGCAGAUGCUGCGUGCAGGCCGCACUGGCUCCGGGGAUGGCCAGCUGGCGAUGCCGGGGCUCCCCAGCGCCAGCCCAGGACGGCAGCGCGGGGCCCGCUGGGUUGGCUGCGGUCCCCCUCUGCCGUGAUACCUGGGGCCUCGCCCCCUCUUUGGCCUGGCACGCUGCCUGCAGACGUGAGCCACGUCUUAGGGGACGUCGAUAGACCGUCUGCGGUGUCAGGCGUGCUGGCACCGAGCUUUCCGGGAAUGCAGCCUGCGUGUGGGCCCAGAGGGCUCAGCUCUCUGGGUCGGGGGGCCGGAGGGACGAGGCCACCCGUGGGGGGCACAGCCACGCCUCUGCCCAGCUGGCAGCCGGCCGCUCCUGCAGCCGCGAGCCGUUGCUUUGCCGCUGCUGCCAGGCACCCACCGGGCGCCACGGUUGUCUGGUGCCCCUCUUCCCUGUCACCUUGUAACGUGAGCACAGUGACCCAAACAGCCGUGGAACCUGUCCCCCCAAAUCCUGGGGUGUCUGAGCUCUUCAGGGGCCGUUCCCACAGGCCCCACCUGCCAGGCGGCCCCUCCCGAGGGCCUGACAGACUCCUGCAACGGAGCCCGGCCCCAGCUGCUGGGCGGCCUCGGGCCGCUCGGAGGGCUGGGCAGGAAAGCGGGAGCCCAGUCAACUUCUGCCAAAGAGUGAAAGAACCAAAACGUGCCUUUGGCUAAUUCUUCUUCUAAUGGGAGUAAUUCAUAGUUGAGUAAAAUACCAUUAGGAUCCCGAACUUCUCCACGAAAACAAUUUUCCUGCUCUUUCCACCAUUCUUCCACACUGUCGUGUGUAUCGUUUGCAAAGCAGGCUUAUUAUGGGGGUGGCAGAGUUGGGGUGGGCAGCGAGUUGGCACUGCCCCCAGGGUGCGGCUGUGUGGGUGCACAGUGUGACUUUAAUUGGCCUUUUUAUUAUCAAGGAGCCGGUCGGAACGCUGAGCUCCUCGACCCGCGAGCCUCUGCUCGCCCACCUGCACGGUCGGGACUCUGCACAAAUGCAGUAUCUCGGUGUUAAAAGGCUUUUGUGCUAAAAAGUGUGCCCUUUGGAGCCGUAUUUUCUUUGCAUUUUGUGUUCGGGCCGUUGUCUCCAAACUUCCUGGCUUCUGAAAAUUCAAAGGGCAGCGCCUUCUGCGGAGCAAAUUGGCUUCCCGGCAGCCUGUGGUCCCCAGGGGCCCUCGGAGCCUGGGGGGCCGCCGGGCCGUGCGGCAGGGAGACCAGCCCGUCUGAGCCCGUGGUUCUCUCCGCAGGGACAGUGGCACGGUGACGUGUUCAGGGGACAGGGCAGCAUGGCCCACUGCUCCGGGGGCGUCUACCGAGGGGUGUGGAUCAAUGGCCACCCCAUGGGUAGGUGCCCCCGGCCUUGCCGCUGGCCCCGUGGGGUCCUCUCGUGGGGUCACGUCUGGGUCUGGCCGUGUCCUUUCUCGGGUGGCCCUGGGCAGUCUCGCGGGAGGCGUGGACCAAGCGGGGCUGGAUGGAGUGGAGCCCAGAGUCCCCUUUUGGGAGGAACAUGCUCUGCUGUGGUCUCACGGGGCUCGUGACGCGCAGAGGCCCCCGUCAGACCCUGGACCCAAGUGGUCCUGCUUCAAGCGGGGCUCCUAGCCUCGGGGUCUCCCACUCGCGGGGCUCUGGGCAUCUGGUCCCCCUGCGCAGCCUCCAUCCAGCCCCCCACCCUGAGCUCUCCGCACUGCAGUGUGCGCACAGGUGGCCUGUGGCCUGCAGGGUCCUCUGCCAGCGCCACACCUUCCCCGUGUUGCCCCCGGGCGCGGGAGCUUCUGUUAGACUCCAGGGACUCGGAUCACUAGUCAGAACCUUGGUGCCAGGUCCAUGGGCGCAGCUGCUCACUCAGAGCUGCGGGUGGACCCUGCUCGCCAGGCCGGCUCCCGGGCAGGUGGCCGCAGCCUCGUCCAGCACUCAUCAGAUCACUGACAGACGCACGCAAUGCAGGGCCCAGGUCCAAGCAGUGGGCGGGAGGGAGGCCGUGCGGGAACGUGCCCCGGGUGCACUGGGCACUGCUGGGCCGUCACCUCAGCUCUGCCGCCCCCCUACCGUGAUCAGGUCAGUUCUGAGACGACCCACUUCAAAUCACUGUAGGCGGCCCUCAGGACGGGGUUAAGGUCACGGCGUCAGUGACGGUCCCCCAGCCCUGACAGCUGUGCCAUCCAUGCGCCCCCCCCGCCCCCCGCAGCGCCCCUCAGGGACACGGUCAGGCCUGAGCGGCUGCACAGGGCAUGUGGGAUGCAGGAUGCAGCCCCGUGGCACUCACCGCCCUGACCCCACGACAGGUGCGCUCUGCUCUCCCCAGCACAAGCCACAGGGAUCGUGAUUUUGGGUCCGGAGGUGAUGGAUGUGGCCCGGGGAUCUUCCUUCACGUUGACCAUUCAGCUGCAGCGGGACGAUGGGGAAGUUGCCACGGGCACCACAAACGCCUUUUCCUGGACACGGAGCGUGGAGGGAAUCUCACCUGUGGUCGCGCUCCGCCCCUCCCUCCCGCCCCGCGCGCAGCGCUGCUCUCCUCUUUGUGGACCACUAGCCUCCCAUCCUGCCCGCCCAGCGCUUUGCUCACCUGCGUCCGUGGGCGACAGUCCAGUCCUUGGCACUUGGCUGCUGUGAACAUUCAUGUGCAGGUUUUUGUGUAAACAUGUUUCAUUUCUCCCAGGUAUAUAUUUAUGAGUAGAAUUGUUGGGUCAAUUGUUGGGUAGGUUUGUGUUUAAAUUUUUCAAGAAACGGCCAAACUCUUUUCCAAAGUGGCUGCACCAUUUUACCAUCCAUUAGCAACGUACGAAGGUUCUGAUUUCUCCACGUCCUCGCCAGGGAGUAGCCAUCCUGAGGAUGUCAGGUGGCAUCUCCUCAUGGAUUUUUUUUUCUUUGUUUUUGUUUGUUUGUUUGUUUUUUGGGUUUUUUUUAAUUUUUUGGCCACGCCACACGGCAUGCAGGAUCCUAGUUCCCCGACCAGGGAUCGAACCUGCCCCCCCUGCAAUGAAAGCACAGAGUCUUAACCACUGGACCACCAGAGAAGUCCCUCCUCAUGGUUUUGAUGUGCAUUUCCCUAAAACUAAUGAUGUUGAGCAUCUUCUCAUGUGCUCAUUGGCCGUUUGUACGUCUUCCACAGAGAAAUGUUUAUUCAUAUAUUUCACCUUUUUUUUUUUUUUGAUUGGGUUGUUUGUCUUAGUUUUUAGUUAUACAAGUUCUUUAUGUAUUCUGGAUACAAGUGCUUUAGCAGAUAUAUAUUUGCAGAUAUUUUCUUUCAGUCUGUGGCUUAUCUUUUAAUCUUCCAAUGUUGUCUUUUGAAGGGCACAAUUUAAAAAUUUUGAUGAAGUACAGUUUGUCAGUUUUUUCGUUUAUGGACCAUGUUCUUGGUGAUUUGUCUAAGGAUUCUUAGCCCAAAUUCACAGAGACUUUCUCCUGUUUUCUUGUACAACUUUUGCUCUUACAUUUAGGUCUCUGAUCCCUCUUGAAUUAAUUUUUGUGGGUAAGAUAGAGGUCUAAAUUCAUCUUUUUUCAUGUGGACUCCAGUUGUCCUAGUGCCAUGUGUUGAAAAGACUGUCCUUUCCCCACUGAAUUGCCUGGGCACCUUGGUCAGAAGUCACUUGACUGUAAGGGUGAGGGUUUAUGUCUGGACGUCAGUUCUGUCCCCCGAUCGAUGAGUCUAUCCUUAGGCCACUGCCACGCCAUCUUGAUUAUUGCAGCCUUCCAGUACGUUUUGAAACUGGAGAUUCCUCCAACUUUGUUCUUCUUUUUCAAAAUUGUUUUGGCUAAUCUGGGACCUCUGUAUUUCCAUAUAAAUAUUUUAGGAUCCGCUUGUCCAUUUCUGUCCCCCCAAAAAGGAAAGAAAACAAGCUGCUGGGGUUUUGUUAGGGAUGCAUUGACUCCAGCUGGGAGAACCGCCAGUAGCAGCACUGAAUCCUCUGCUUCAUGAACAUGAGACAUCUCUCCACCUGUUUUUCUUUACGUUCAUCAAUGUUUGUAUUUUUCAGUGAGCAAGUCUCGCACUUUUCUUAAAUUUAUUAAUAAACGAUCAAUGAUUUAUUAUUGUUUAAUUAUAGUUUGUUUAUUAAUACAUUUGUUACAUUCUUUUAUGCUAUUAUAAAUGGAAUUGUUUUGUUAUCUUCACUUCAGAAAUUACGAGACUACGGUUGAUUUUUACAUGUUGAUCUUAUAUUCUCUGACCUUGCUGGUUGUUUCUGAGGAUUUCUUAGGAUUUUCUAUAUACAGGAUCAUGUCGUCUACAAAUAAAUGCAAUUUUACUUCUUC